RNAcentral lists this ribosomal RNA (159 nucleotides) under Plectosphaerella cucumerina. RNAcentral's name for it is "5.8S ribosomal RNA". It matches the Rfam family "5.8S ribosomal RNA". Rfam says of the family: 5.8S ribosomal RNA (5.8S rRNA) is a component of the large subunit of the eukaryotic ribosome. It is transcribed by RNA polymerase I as part of the 45S precursor that also contains 18S and 28S rRNA. The record is from RNAcentral. Lineage: Eukaryota; Fungi; Ascomycota; Sordariomycetes; Glomerellales; Plectosphaerellaceae.
UCAAAACUUUUAACAACGGAUCUCUUGGCUCCAGCAUCGAUGAAGAACGCAGCGAAACGCGAUAUGUAAUGUGAAUUGCAGAAUUCAGUGAAUCAUCGAAUCUUUGAACGCACAUGGCGCCUUCCAGUAUCCUGGGAGGCAUGCCUGUCCGAGCGUCGU